RNAcentral lists this ribosomal RNA (253 nucleotides) under uncultured bacterium. Its description in RNAcentral is "partial 16S ribosomal RNA". It matches the Rfam family "Bacterial small subunit ribosomal RNA", at positions 524 to 776 of the family's 1533-position model. The record is from RNAcentral.
UACAGAGGGUGCAAGCGUUAAUCGGAAUUACUGGGCGUAAAGCGUGCGUAGACGGUUACAUAAGUCGGGUGUGAAAGCCCCGGGCUCAACCUGGGAAUUGCAUUCGAGACUGCGUAGCUAGGGUGCGGAAGAGGGAAGCGGAAUUUCCGGUGUAGCGGUGAAAUUCGUAGAUAUCGAGAGGAACAUCGGUGGCGAAGGCGGCCUUCUGGACAGUGACUGACGCUGAGACGCGAAAGCGUGGGGAGCAAACAGG